CCUCCUCCCUCUCACCGACAUCCCUUGACACCUCUCUCCUCUGCCUCACCAAAACCAAAUCAAAUUAAGAUUGAACCAUGACAUGCACAUGCAGUAUGCAACAAAUAUAAAUCCUACAUAACAAACCCUAAAUUAACCUCUCUCUCUCUCUCUCCGCAUUAUCACGAAGAAAAGCAAGCAAACAGUAUCUAUCUCGAUCGGGUCCGCGCAAUUCAGAUAUUUCAUAAUUCCAUUAAGCUUGACUUAGAUGGGCUUGCCGCGCUUCGAGUCCGUGCCUUUGAUAGUGGUGAAGGUACUUUUUGAAAUGCUAAUGAUGACGAGAUGUUUGGGGCCAUUGAAUUCUCAAUUUCAUUUCUUGGUAGUGCACUCAUUGUUGAUGCUCUUUUUUCUUUUUUCUUUUUUUGAGAGGCGGAGGUAGUCGCCACUCUCUCUGUGUGUUUCAGUAACUGAGCUUCUUGAGAGGCAGAGGUAGUCGGCGGCGAUCUGUGGCUUCAGAUCCAUUAGCCACACAGAAAAGGAAAGGAAAAAGAUGAGGUGUGGUGUUUGGAGAAGGAGACGGGUGUCUGUAGGAUCCAUUCUGAUAGUGUGUGCUGGAAUGGGGCUGUUGAUGCUCAACUUAAGACAAGUUGAUUCUCCAUCGAGCCCCGAUUUCCCUAUGCAAAUUCACAAUUCGGAUUCAGCGUCUGAAAGCGGUGGUGGUAGGGUUGGGGUUAAGGACGAGCCAGAGAACAAGAUUAAGAGAAAAUCCAACUCCUUUGCUAUGGUGGAAGAGAUGGGAAAGGACUUCAAAGGAGGGUUCUGGGAGGAAAGUCUCAGAGUCAGGAAACUUAUUCAGCAUCACUUUGACUUGAAUGGUGCUUCCCAUGUCCGAAAUCUUUGUCCAGAACAGUUUUGUCAGCAUGGCUUUGUGAUGGGUAAAGCAUCAGAGGCAGGUUUCGGGAAUGAAAUGUACAAAAUUUUAAGUGGUGCAGCAUUGAGUAUACUUUUAAACUGGUCCCUGAUCAUUGGGCA
This is a non-coding RNA of Prunus mume (Japanese apricot), 1011 nucleotides long. Lineage: Eukaryota; Viridiplantae; Streptophyta; Magnoliopsida; Rosales; Rosaceae. The record is from RefSeq and is a predicted model, not a curated record.